Long non-coding RNA from Numida meleagris (helmeted guineafowl), 954 nucleotides. RefSeq lists it as uncharacterized. The record is from RefSeq and is a predicted model, not a curated record. The transcript has 6 exons. Lineage: Eukaryota; Metazoa; Chordata; Aves; Galliformes; Numididae.
CAGGUUAAAAAAUGAAGAGUUUACCUAUUCCUGUAAAAAGAUUCAGUAAACUCUAAAAGAAUAAGGUAUCUUCCAGCCUUCACUGAUAACUGAUCAUCCACUAAAACACACAGGUAAUGACCAUCUGUAGUGGAAAUGCUAAGUGACGGCCUGAACCAGUGAUUGAGCGCCUGCUGGGAAGGCAGGGCCAACCCAGGGGAGCUCAGGUGCAUGCAAUGCAUCUGAGUGACGGAAGGGGAGGAGCCAGGAUCCGCCCCUUUCCAGACCUUAUUUACAGGUUGGCAGUGGAGGCAAAGGCAUAUUGCUGGAGCUCCCUACUUAUUGGAGGCCUUCCAAGGAUGCCUUGCAAUGUGUUGAUGAUCUUUUUAGAGCCCAAUGAAGAUUUUGGAACAGCAAAUAUCAUGUCAGAGUCCUCAAAGCCCUGUCAAGAGGAGAAAGAAAUUAGAAAACAAGUCCAUGCGUGUGUGCAUGCUCGUGAGACUAAAUUCUUGUGAAAUACUGGACCUGACUGCUGAGUUCAUAAAAGCAAGGGGAGAAAAUGGGAAGAACCAGAAUGAGAAAUCUCCUGGGCUGAGUUGAAGAUGGGGAAAUUGCUCACUGGUAACUGUCAUGGACAGAACACACUCAACCUUACCUAAUCUUAAGGCUCGGUUUUACGCUUUUGCUCCAGGCUACCAACUCACCACACCAAGUGGUGCAGCAGCAGAUGGGCAGAGGAACCUCUCAUCACACAGAUAUACAUUGUAUAAACCCUGUGAAGAAAAGUCAUAAUCUGUAUGUUCAUACUUUUUUGAAAAACUUGAAAAGAAACAUGUUUAUCAAAAAGAACUUAAUUUUGGGACGCCAGAUAUUCUUUUCUUAUCCAAUAGGUUGUAUAGGAAACAGGAUAGCUUUGUGGAAACAGGAACAUUUACUGCUUCAGAAGGAAUAAAAAAGCCAUCAUGUCUUAAAACA